AGCUUUAUAGUCAAGUUUAAAAAUGAUAUAAAAUUGCAAAUUUUAAGGGAUAAGUUUAUUAUUAAGGCUU
This 70-nucleotide transfer RNA is filed under the name Orthopygia glaucinalis. RNAcentral describes it as "tRNA-Cys". Lineage: Eukaryota; Metazoa; Arthropoda; Insecta; Lepidoptera; Pyralidae. RNAcentral also lists the same sequence under 2 other names. The record is from RNAcentral.